GAUGAACGCUGGCGGCGUGCCUAAUACAUGCAAGUCGAGCGAACAGACGAGGAGCUUGCUCCUCUGACGUUAGCGGCGGACGGGUGAGUAACACGUGGAUAACCUACCUAUAAGACUGGGAUAACUUCGGGAAACCGGAGCUAAUACCGGAUAAUAUAUUGAACCGCAUGGUUCAAUAGUGAAAGACGGUUUUGCUGUCACUUCUAGAUGGAUCCGCGCCGCAUUAGCUAGUUGGUAAGGUAACGGCUUACCAAGGCAACGAUGCGUAGCCGACCUGAGAGGGUGAUCGGCCACACUGGAGCUGAGACACGGUCCAGACUCCUACGGGAGGCAGCAGUAGGGAAUCUUCCGCAAUGGGCGAAAGCCUGACGGAGCAACGCCGCGUGAGUGAUGAAGGUCUUCGGAUCGUAAAACUCUGUUAUUAGGGAAGAACAAAUGUGUAAGUAACUAUGCACGUCUUGACGGUACCUAAUCAGAAAGCCACGGCUAACUACGUG
This 497-nucleotide ribosomal RNA is filed under the name uncultured bacterium. RNAcentral describes it as "partial 16S ribosomal RNA". It matches the Rfam family "Bacterial small subunit ribosomal RNA", at positions 28 to 507 of the family's 1533-position model. The record is from RNAcentral.